UUAUCCAAGACUUGUAUCAUUUGAUGAUGCCAUGUGAAUCGCUAGAAACAUGUGAAGUGUAUGGCUAACCCAAUAACGAAAGUUUCGUAAGGGGACUGGAGCAGGCUACCAUGAGACAAAAGAUCCUCUUUCUAAAGAGAUUCGAUUCGGAACUCUUAUAUGUCCAAGGUCAAUAUGGAAAUUCUUUCAGAGGUUUUCCCUUACUUUGUCCGUGUCAACAAACAAUUCGAAAUACCUCGACUUUUUCAGAACAGGUCCGAGUCAAAUAGCAAUGAUUCGAAGCACUUCUUUUUCCAUUACACUAUUUCGGAAACCUAAGGACUCGAUCGUAUGGAUAUGGAAAAUACAGGAUUUCCGAUCCUAGCGGGAAAAGGAGGGAAACGGAUACUCAAUUUAAAGUGAGUAAACAGAAUUCCAUACUCGAUCUCAUAGAUCCCUAUAGAAUUCUGUGGAAAGCCGUAUUCGAUGAAAGUCGUAUGUACGGCUUGGAGGGAGAUCUUUCCUAUCUUUCGAGAUCCACCCUACAAUAUGGGGUCAAAAAGCCAAAAAAAUAAGUGAUUUUAGCCCUUAUAAAAAGAAAACGGAUUCUUGAACCUCUUUCACGCUCAUGUCACGUCGAGGUACUGCAGAAAAAAGAACUGCAAAAUCCGAUCCAAUUUUUCGUAAUCGAUUAAGUUAACAUGGUGGUUAACCGUAUUAUGAAAGACGGAAAAAAAUCAUUGGCUUAUCAAAUUCUCUAUCGAGCCGUGAAAAAGAUUCAACAAAAGACAGAAACAAAUCCACUAUUGGUUUUACGUCAAGCAAUACGUAGAGUAACUCCCAAUAUAGGAGUAAAAACAAGACGUAAUAAAAAAGGAUCGACGCGGAAAGUUCCGAUUGAAAUAGGAUCUAAACAAGGAAGAGCACUUGCCAUUCGUUGGUUAUUAGAAGCAUCCCAAAAGCGUCCGGGUCGAAAUAUGGCUUUCAAAUUAAGUUCCGAAUUAGUAGAUGCUGCCAAAGGGAGUGGGGGUGCCAUACGCAAAAAGGAAGCGACUCAUAGAAUGGCAGAGGCAAAUAGAGCUCUUGCACAUUUUCGUUAAUCCAUGAACAGAAUCUAUGUAUGUAGACACAUGGAUCCGUACAUCUCGAUCGGAAAAGAAUCAAUAGAAGGAGAAUCGGACGAUAUCUUUCUCGAAACAAACAAAAAGGAAAA
Molecule: RNA transcript, 1192 nt
Organism: Hordeum vulgare subsp. vulgare (domesticated barley)
Lineage: Eukaryota; Viridiplantae; Streptophyta; Magnoliopsida; Poales; Poaceae
Gene name: 30S ribosomal protein S7, chloroplastic-like
Exons: 1
Source: RefSeq, a predicted model, not a curated record